RNAcentral lists this ribosomal RNA (644 nucleotides) under uncultured Actinomycetes bacterium. RNAcentral describes it as "bacterial SSU rRNA". It matches the Rfam family "Bacterial small subunit ribosomal RNA", at positions 232 to 885 of the family's 1533-position model. Lineage: Bacteria; Bacillati; Actinomycetota; Actinomycetes. The record is from RNAcentral.
CGCGGCCUAUCAGCUUGUUGGUGGGGUAAUGGCCUACCAAGGCGACGACGGGUAGCUGGCCUGAGAGGGUGACCGGCCACACUGGGACUGAGACACGGCCCAGACUCCUACGGGAGGCAGCAGUGGGGAAUAUUGCACAAUGGGCGCAAGCCUGAUGCAGCGACGCCGCGUGAGGGAUGACGGCCUUCGGGUUGUAAACCUCUUUCAGUAGGGAAGAAGCGAAAGUGACGGUACCUGCAGAAGAAGCACCGGCCAACUACGUGCCAGCAGCCGCGGUAAGACGUAGGGUGCAAGCGUUGUCCGGAUUUAUUGGGCGUAAAGAGCUCGUAGGCGGCUUGUUGCGUCGACCGUGAAAACCUAUCCGCUUAACGGUGGGCAUGCGGUCGAUACGGGCAGGCUAGAGUUCGGUAGGGGAGACUGGAAUUCCUGGUGUAGCGGUGAGAUGCGCAGAUAUCAGGAGGAACACCGGUGGCGAAGGCGGGUCUCUGGGCCGAUACUGACGCUGAGGAGCGAAAGUGUGGGGAGCGAACAGGAUUAGAUACCCUGGUAGUCCAUGCCGUAAACGUUGGGCACUAGGUGUGGAGGACAUUCCACGUUUUCCGCGCCGUAGCUAACGCAUUAAGUGCCCCGCCUGGGGAGUACGG